Molecule: ribosomal RNA, 499 nt
Filed under: uncultured bacterium
Lineage: Bacteria
Description: partial 16S ribosomal RNA
Rfam family: Bacterial small subunit ribosomal RNA
Source: RNAcentral
AUUGAACGCUGGCGGCAUGCCUUACACAUGCAAGUCGAACGGCAGCGCGGGAGCAAUCCUGGCGGCGAGUGGCGAACGGGUGAGUAACAUAUCGGAACGUGCCCUAGAGUGGGGGAUAACUAGUCGAAAGACUAGCUAAUACCGCAUACGAUCUAAGGAUGAAAGUGGGGGAUCGCAAGACCUCAUGCUCAUGGAGCGGCCGAUAUCUGAUUAGCUAGUUGGCGGGGUAAAAGCCCACCAAGGCGACGAUCAGUAGCUGGUCUGAGAGGACGACCAGCCACACUGGGACUGAGACACGGCCAGACUCCUACGGGAGGCAGCAGUGGGGAAUUUUGGACAAUGGGGGCAACCCUGAUCCAGCAAUGCCGCGUGAGUGAAGAAGGCCUUCGGGUUGUAAAGCUCUUUUGUCAGGAACGAAACGGAUGGGGCUAAUACCUCUGUCUAAUGACGGUACCUGAAGAAUAAGCACCGGCUAACUACGUGCCAGCAGCCGCCGUAA